This is a long non-coding RNA of Papio anubis (olive baboon), 1591 nucleotides long. Lineage: Eukaryota; Metazoa; Chordata; Mammalia; Primates; Cercopithecidae. The record is from Ensembl.
AGACGGGGUUUCACCAUGUUAACCAGGAUGGUCUCCAUCUCCUGACCUCGUGAUCCUCCCGCUUCGGCCUCCCAAAGUGCUGGGAUUACAGUUGACUCUCAGGGAAGCCAGAUGCCACACCGUGAGCAGCUCUGCAGAGAGAUCCAUGCAGCAAGGAACCGAGGCCUCCAGCCAGGAGCUGCGUGACUGAGUGAACUUGUUACCAAAACACCAGGGGUUUGGUCCAGGUCCUACUGCUCACCACAUGGAAAGCUCAUCACUGAGAUGACAAGUAUUGCCAAGGAAGGAUUUAAUCAGGUGCUGCACCCAAGGAAAUGGGAGCUCAGUCUCAAAUCCAUCCUGCUGACCUACUAAAACCAGGGAUUUGUAUAGCAGGGAAGAAAUGCAACAAUGUGUAAGAAAACAGGAACUAGGGAGGGGCACGGAAACAAUCAUGAUGAAUGAAGGGGCAGCAUCUCAUUGUCUGAAUGUGGUGAUCUGGCCCUUCUGGACCCACAGAGUCUGCGUUCCCCAAAGUGAAAGCUGCCUGGCCUCUGGGGGUUCACUGGGUCCAGCACCUACAGCUGAAAGCGAAGUCAGCCAGUGCCCCGUCCUGGAAGCCGCUGGAUUAACUGCACAGAGUGAUCAAGGUAACUCAGCCACACAGAACUUCCCUGACACAAGCUCCUUCAUGACUCUGUAUGUUGACAUACGCGGCUCCCUUUUCUGGGACACUCUUCCCGUCCGGUUCUUCUCACUAGAGCUGCAUCUGUGCUUUGUCACCCAGUUAUCAAUCAGGCCUCAUUCCCCCGUACAAUGCGGCCUAUCUCCCUAUAGAACAUCGGCACUGAAUUUGUUCUUUACAAGUGCAUAUCCCUGCGGAUGGAGCUCCAUGAGCAGUUGUUCAGAUGUUCUUAUAAGCAGUGCUGCAGUCAACAUUCUUCGACAGUCUCCCUGGACUGGCUCCCAGGACUCCAGUGUUGGAGUCUGACUACACAAAGGAGUGGAGGAACUGGAGACCUGCCCACCCCCUUCAUGUUCCAACGUGAUGCCAGGGGACCUGGCUCUGGGAUCUGCUGUGCAUCUCACCACUGUAUGAGGGUGCCCAUUUCUCCAUGAGGGGUCAGCUUUUCGUACUGCCCACUUUUAAUGUUUGCCAAGUUCGUGGAUGUAAAGUGGUAUCACACUGUGAUUUCCAUGCACGUUUUUCUGAAUUAAAGGGUGGCCGAGCAUCUUCUCCUAUUUUCUUGGCAAUUCAGACUCCAUUACUAAAAAUCCCGUUUUUCUGAAGCCUUGCAAUUUCUUUCAGUGAGUGCUAUAAUAACAGCAUUAACUUAGCCACCAAGGAUGUAAUAUGGCAGCUGCUCAAGAAACUGUGGCUCAGUUGAGUGUGUACAGAUGAGGGCAGGAAAAAGGGAUAAUAGGAACCAAGGGCAUAUAAUCAUGUGUGGGAAGUGAGGUCCAGGAGAGAGUGAAGGCAGACGUUAGGCAGGAGAGCAGGUGACAGUGGAGGUCAGGAGGCAGAUGGUGAGGUCAGGAGUGAGGAUGGUGGGAGGUCAGGAGAGAGUGAAGGCUGGAGGGGUCAGGAACGGUGAUGGUGGAGGUUAGAGUG